AUGCUAAUAACGCAGGGUGGUGCAGUAUUCUAGUCAGUACUUCCGAUUCUGAAGACGGGCCUAAAAAUCCGUUAAAGGGCACAUCGAUGAAGUUCCUUGUGCUGGCUUGUUACGCCCAGUAGUGGGCUGGUGCUGGGAGUUAAGGUUUAGGGGCGAUCCGCAAUGGCAUGCGGGCGUUGACCCCUCUACCGUGGAGACCCGAACUUGUGGAAGUAAAGUACACUAUAGGCUUAAAAUCAGCUUAUGUGUCAGCUCUUCUACGAGCCGGGAGUAAACCUGUUAUGCGAUGCCGGUUUAGGUGUUGUGAACAGAGUAGCCUGCCUUGAGUGAAAUUGGUGGAUAAUGGUCAGGUGUAGAAGUAUUGGCCGAUACAUAUACACUAUAGCAGUUUGAAACCAAUUUUGCAAAAGAGGCUAAGAAUCGGAUAGACUGUCGGGGAAAGCCCCUAGACUGUUCGGUAACGAGUUAUGCUGGGGAUUGUAGUGUGGACUAAGUGGUAAUCAGGCCCCGCUUCCUUUGAAGGAGCGGCUGAGGGUUUAAAGGGAAACCGCUGAACUGGCGACAUUCAGUACCUUCUGUGGAAAUCAUGCCUGACCUAAGCCGCAAAAUUUACUCAGCAUAUAUCCACCCUGUAUUAUGGUAUU
This 644-nucleotide small RNA is filed under the name Acetivibrio straminisolvens JCM 21531. Lineage: Bacteria; Bacillati; Bacillota; Clostridia; Acetivibrionales; Acetivibrionaceae. The record is from RNAcentral.